This 251-nucleotide ribosomal RNA is filed under the name uncultured prokaryote. RNAcentral describes it as "partial 16S ribosomal RNA". It matches the Rfam family "Bacterial small subunit ribosomal RNA", at positions 525 to 775 of the family's 1533-position model. The record is from RNAcentral.
ACGUAGGAGGCGAGCGUUAUCCGGGUUCACUGGGCGUAAAGCGCGUGUAGGCGGUUCGGUAAGUUGGGCGUGAAAUCUCCCGGCUAAACUGGGAGAGGUCGGAUGAGACUGCCGAGCUAGAGGGUCGUAGAGGGGUGUGGAAUUCCGGGUGUAGUGGUGAAAUGCGUAGAGAUCCGGAGGAACACCAGAGGCGAAGGCGGCACCCUGGACGACACCAGACGCUGAGACGCGACAGCACGGGGAGCGAACGG